Long non-coding RNA from Sinocyclocheilus grahami, 296 nucleotides. RefSeq lists it as uncharacterized. Lineage: Eukaryota; Metazoa; Chordata; Actinopteri; Cypriniformes; Cyprinidae. The record is from RefSeq and is a predicted model, not a curated record. The transcript is spliced from 3 exons.
AGUGAGAUGGUAUUACAGCAAAAGAAUUGUCCGUUUAUUUUGUGAUGCUAUAUAUAAGGUGCUGUGAUUUUACAAUCAAAAUGUAUUUAUUUAUUUUGACAUAUUAAUCUUGUCAGUGUCAAAAGGGGUAGCAAACGUUGUUAAACAUAAGCCCAGCCAUCAAAGAAUGAUCAACUAUACACAUGGUAACGCCACAGAAAACUAGAUAGAAAGAGAAAAAAUGACGACAUAUUUGGAUAAUUAGAUCUUGUAUGUUGUGAAAUAGCUUUUUAAUUUCAAUAUUUAGAGUUCUUGAG